AUCCUUCCAGAAUUAAACCCUAUGCUUGGUAAUAUGGAUCUGUGGGACCAAACCUGUAUCAUCUUUCCUGCGAGCCUCUGUCAACCUCAAUGAACAGUAAACCUCUCCCUUUCAUCACCAUAACUCAUUUCCAGGAUCAACUGUUACCUUAUUUGGCUUGUUGUGACGGCAGAAUAAGAAACAAAUCUCCAGAAGAGGCUGAUCGAUUAGAAACCGUCCAGAGGGUAACAACAGAAACAGCCAGUGGUCUGGAAAACAUAAUCUACUAGGGAAGAUUGAGUGAGUGGCAUAAUUUCACCUGGAAAAAGAAAGACUGAGGGGGUGUGACAGACUUCAACAAAUAUGAAAAAAUUAUGUCAAGGAAGGAGGGAAUAAUCUGUGCUUUGUGUUCAAUUCAUACAAAUAAUCUGUUCUCAAGGGUAGAUAGACCAAAGGGUAAUCAAUUUAAAUUGUAGCACAGAAGAUGUCAAUUAAGAAUAAUUGGAGGUGGACUGCGUGGCGAGGUCAAGGGGAUUCAUCCCCUUUUUCCUUUUGUGUUCCAUUGUUUUGAAGCUUUUUCCUCGUGCUGGUCCUGCAACAGAGGAUGUGAAUGGGUUGUAGGAGGAAUAUAGUCUGUCUAGAGAGUCGCAAGGUGGAGGGAAUUUGGCCUUUUCGUCCCACUUCCCUCUCUGUUCCAGCAACCUCUUUAGUGGGGCCGGGGGCGAUGUACAAUAUUGCUGCUGCUGUGCCAUGAGUCUGGAUGUGGCUGACCCAGAGACCCUUUCAGGAUACAGGAAUUCAGCAGUGGGACAUGCAGUCCCAGGCCUACUUGAUCUUGUCCAUUUGGCACUGCUGGAGGAAUAACAAGUUUCUUCCCGUCAUGCACCAUUCUGGGAUACAUCAUGACAGAGAAAUCUCAAAGCCCAGGUCAAUUAUAACAGAAGAUGUGUAGCACCUCUGCCCCCACAGCGUCUUCUGGGGAUCCACUUGGCAAAAUGAUAUAAAACUAUUUCUGAGGACUUCCAUGAUCUGGUGCUACUUAGAACUAAGUCACCGGCAAAAUAAAGUGGAGUGGCUUUGGUGGAAAGGAUCAGACAUGUCUUCUGCACAGUCCUGCUCCAGACAGCCCAUGGUCUGCAGAAGGGCAGAGGUCUGCCUUC
Molecule: long non-coding RNA, 1139 nt
Organism: Harpia harpyja (harpy eagle)
Lineage: Eukaryota; Metazoa; Chordata; Aves; Accipitriformes; Accipitridae
Exons: 3
Source: RefSeq, a predicted model, not a curated record